CUACGUGCCAGCAGCCGCGGUAAUACGGAGGGUGCGAGCGUUAAUCGGAAUAACUGGGCGUAAAGGGCACGCAGGCGGACUUUUAAGUGAGGUGUGAAAUCCCCGGGCUUAACCUGGGAAUUGCAUUUCAGACUGGGGGUCUAGAGUACUUUAGGGAGGGGUAGAAUUCCACGUGUAGCGGUGAAAUGCGUAGAGAUGUGGAGGAAUACCGAAGGCGAAGGCAGCCCCUUGGGAAUGUACUGACGCUCAUGUGCGAAAGCGUGGGGAGCAAACAGGAUUAGAUACCCUGGUAGUCCACGCUGUAAACGGUGUCGAUUUGGGGAUUGUGCUUUGAGCUUGGUGCCCGUAGCUAACGUGAUAAAUCGACCGCCUGGGGAGUACGGCCGCAAGGUUAAAACUCAAAUGAAUUGACGGGGGCCCGCACAAGCGGUGGAGCAUGUGGUUUAAUUCGAUGCAACGCGAAGAACCUUACCUACUCUUGACAUCC
RNAcentral lists this ribosomal RNA (487 nucleotides) under uncultured bacterium. RNAcentral describes it as "bacterial SSU rRNA". It matches the Rfam family "Bacterial small subunit ribosomal RNA", at positions 501 to 989 of the family's 1533-position model. The record is from RNAcentral.